GAAGUUCGAGGGUAAUUAGAUGGUUCUCGCUCCAUCGUCAAUUCGAGCUAUCAAGGUAGUGUUAGAUGAACGGGUACACGUACAGGCAUAUACAGGUAUAUCCUCACAACGUCUUGAUAAUUAAUGCCGUUGCAGUCAAAUUGUGUUCACAUUAUUCACUGUCCCCUUCUCAUUCCUUUUUCCCCCACCAUUUCGUCCGCUUGUCUCCAAAUACUGUCUCCCAUUGUCUCUGUAUCCACGACGAUUAACUUAAUCUUCUUCCCCUUAUUCCUUUGGUGAAAGUAAUAGCACGGUGUUAUCUAUCAGCAAGAGAUUUCGCUUUAAAGAAUUUUAUCUCAUUUGAAUAUAUCAGAUUUCCAAAAAUUAGAACUUUCGAUGGUUUGAUCGAGAAAACGACAGCAAAGUUUUAGGAACGAUUUCAUAGUCGGUUGGUUCGACGAAAUGAAAGUGAAAGAGAACGAGCGAACUAGUGAGAGUGUGUACAUGUAAGAGAGGAAGAAAGAGAGAAAGAGAGAGAGAGAGAGAGAGAGGUGCAAUGUUUCGAGUUUAAGCGGAAUCCUUCUCGGUGUCGGAAUCCAGACAAUCAAUUGCAAACGGCAAUGCAUACGGUGUGCUGUAUCGAAAUGCAACCGCCGAAACACGAUGUAUCCUACAUUAUUACGGAUCGACGAAUUUGCACCCUAUACGUUCAGCGUAAUCAAUUCCAAUUCCCUAGUCGGUCCAACGUGACGGCAGCGAAAUAAUUUACGGAUAAUGAGGACGCUACGUGGUGCCCGAACGACCUGCCUGUCUGCCUGCCUACCUGCCUGCCUGCCUGCCUGCCUGCCUGACUCUACUGUACUGAGCGUCCUACGAUGGACGGGUGAUACGCAGUUAAUCAACUGGAUGGACAUGCCGGGACGUGAUCAAUCCCGCAACCCACUGAAAAAUUAUCAACUACCGUGUUCUGCCUUCAAAAGAAGAACGUCGUCCGAUUUUUAUUCUAUUCACGAUCAAGUCAUUAUAUAUAUCCGCAAAGAAUGCGAAUUAUCUCAUAGUACUUUUUGCAAAAAUGAAAAAGGCAAGACGAAAUAAAAAAAAAUAAUCAAGUAGAGUAUUAAAAAACGUUUCUCGUUUUUGCUGGUAAAAAAUUCUCAAAAGAAAAUUUGGAACGCACAACAAAUAUAUAUGAUAUCGAAACGAGAAAGAUCUGAGAAGAAUUUUUGUAUGUUCAAAAUCUAGUAUGAAUAUGUCUAUUAUGAUAAAAAAUGAUGUUAAUAGACAUGUCAAGACAUUAUUUCUGGAUUCUUAGAUACGUACAAUCUAUGCAUAUAAGAGAAAUCGUAACUAAUAUGGAUCUAAUAAAUAUCUUUCAUUAUAGCAUCAAUUAGUAAGCAACAGGCAACAUCAAUAUUUUGAAACAAUUUAA
Long non-coding RNA from Vespa mandarinia (Asian giant hornet), 1408 nucleotides. NCBI's taxonomy places the organism in Eukaryota, Metazoa, Arthropoda, Insecta, Hymenoptera, Vespidae. The record is from RefSeq and is a predicted model, not a curated record.